GCCCCUGUCGUCUAGUCCGGUCAAGGAUCGCGCCCUCUCGAGGCGUGGGCACGGGUUCAAAUCCCGUCGGGGGCA
Molecule: transfer RNA, 75 nt
Filed under: Nitrososphaerota archaeon
Lineage: Archaea; Thermoproteati; Nitrososphaerota
Description: Thaumarchaeota archaeon tRNA-Glu
Rfam family: tRNA
About the family: Transfer RNA (tRNA) molecules are approximately 80 nucleotides in length. Their secondary structure includes four short double-helical elements and three loops (D, anti-codon, and T loops). Further hydrogen bonds mediate the characteristic L-shaped molecular structure. tRNAs have two regions of fundamental functional importance: the anti-codon, which is responsible for specific mRNA codon recognition, and the 3' end, to which the tRNAs corresponding amino acid is attached (by aminoacyl-tRNA synthetases). tRNAs cope with the degeneracy of the genetic code in two manners: having more than one tRNA (with a specific anti-codon) for a particular amino acid; and 'wobble' base-pairing, i.e. permitting non-standard base-pairing at the 3rd anti-codon position.
Source: RNAcentral